AUUUAUAUAGUUUAAAUAAAACAUUUCAUUUUCAAUGGAAAAAAGAGAAUAAUCUAUAAAUA
This 62-nucleotide transfer RNA is filed under the name Mattiphus splendidus. Its description in RNAcentral is "tRNA-Glu". Lineage: Eukaryota; Metazoa; Arthropoda; Insecta; Hemiptera; Tessaratomidae. The record is from RNAcentral.